AUAUUAACCAUUUCAAAAUUUUCUAAAUUACGUAGUAUUUGUUAAUAUGCAUAAUUAUAUAUUCGCAGAAGAGUGAUACCCCCGCUAUGCACGGUAUCAUGUAAACUUUCUAUAUGAUUUUUAUUUCUAAAAUGGAAUAGUCUUGUAUAGUAGUAAGGGAUUGAAGUAAUGUAUUACUAAUGUAAUAAAAUUCCUGUAACCCGCCGGACCAAACUGAUUAUGCAUCUUCACGAACUGCCUCAAAUCAACUACUGGUACACCUCCCCCUCAAAAAUCCUAAGCAGAAACCCAUCACGCAGGUAAGGAUCGUCUUCGAUUACUUAUUUUUUAUUAUAUGAUGUUAGGGAUCCUGUCUUCCCAACCGACGCUCAUGCCUCGCUCAGGCGACGAUUCCUCUGACCCUCCCUGGCUCUCCAAUCAAUCAGUUUUCCCUUGCGAAUCCUCAGCGGAAGCUCAUUAAUCAGGAUGGCAUGGAGUAUGCCCAAAGGAAUGGGAUGUUCUUAAUCAAGACAAUCUGCAAUAAUGGCAGAUAAUAUAAACCAGCUGUUUGAGUCCACUCUUUGGACAAUCUACUUCCAUUGACAGACAGUGGGGGCCAAUUUUCUCUCCGACAAAUUUGAAACUGAAAAAUUAUCAAGACAUCGUUUCUCAUGUGUUGAGGAUUAACAUCUCUUUACUAUAGCAAUUCUGACUUCGAUUUCUUCCUUUGAUUACAAUUGUAGGGUUAUCUUUGAUUUAACUUUUACAGCUUUGCUGACAUACAAGUCGGGAAAUCUGUUCAAGACUCACUUGGUUAUCUCCCGAUAGCAUAUAAUGGUUGCCUUCACAUAGGGCUGUCUGUUGGCAAAAUACGGUUAUUCGUGUUUGUCAUAUGGUCCUAUUCCGCAUUCAUGCCUGCAGGUUUAACAGGCUCUUUGGCCCGUCACUAGCAGUGGACCAUAGAUUAUCGUAGCAUCUAGCAAGCAUUAGACAGUUGACAUUGUAGUUGCAUGGUAAGUCGCAUCAGUUUUUUUCUUUUCUCUCCGCAGAUAUACUGUAAAUCCAGUAUCUUUCUUUGUUUAUAAAAUAAAAAUUGACUGAUUGCAUAUGA
Non-coding RNA from Punica granatum (pomegranate), 1090 nucleotides. Lineage: Eukaryota; Viridiplantae; Streptophyta; Magnoliopsida; Myrtales; Lythraceae. The record is from RefSeq and is a predicted model, not a curated record.